This 498-nucleotide ribosomal RNA is filed under the name uncultured bacterium. RNAcentral's name for it is "partial 16S ribosomal RNA". It matches the Rfam family "Bacterial small subunit ribosomal RNA", at positions 28 to 523 of the family's 1533-position model. The record is from RNAcentral.
GAUGAACGCUAGCGGCAGGCUUAAUACAUGCAAGUCGAACGGGAUUGAGAAGCUUGCUUUUCAUGAGAGUGGCGCACGGGUGCGUAACACGUAUGCAACCUGCCUUGUCCAGGGGGAUAGCCCGUUGAAAGACGGAUUAAGACCGCAUAACAUCAUUGAAUGGCAUCGUUUAAGGAUCAAAUAUUUAUAGGGACAAGAUGGGCAUGCGUCUGAUUAGCUAGUUUGCGGGGUAAUGGCCCACCAAGGCGACGAUCAGUAGGGGAUCUGAGAGGAUGAGCCACCACACUGGAACUGAGACACGGACCAGACUCCUACGGGAGGCAACAGUAAGGAAUAUUGGUCAAUGGGCGCAAGCCUGAACCAGCCAUGCCGCGUGCAGGAAGACGGCCCUACGGGUUGUAAACUGCUUUUAUACGGGAAUAACCCCGGUUUCGUGAAACCGGCUGAAUGUACCGUAAGAAUAAGGAUCGGCUAACUCCGUGCCAGCCGCCGCGGUAA